AAGACAUGGUGAGGGCACUUUCUAAGUAUUUCCAUGAAUCUCUCCCAACUCUCGUAAAAAGAUUCUCCUUCUAAGUAAAAGAAGUAAUAUCAUUUCUAUGUUU
This is a small nucleolar RNA of Dendrobium catenatum, 103 nucleotides long. Lineage: Eukaryota; Viridiplantae; Streptophyta; Magnoliopsida; Asparagales; Orchidaceae. The record is from RefSeq and is a predicted model, not a curated record.